This 254-nucleotide ribosomal RNA is filed under the name uncultured bacterium. Its description in RNAcentral is "partial 16S ribosomal RNA". It matches the Rfam family "Bacterial small subunit ribosomal RNA", at positions 524 to 776 of the family's 1533-position model. The record is from RNAcentral.
UACGUAGGGGGCGAGCGUUGUCCGGAAUUAUUGGGCGUAAAGAGCUCGUAGGCGGCUAAGCAAGUCGGGUGGGAAAUCUCCAGGCUCAACCUGGAGCCUUCGCUCGAUACUGCUUUAGCUCGAGUCCGGUAGGGGAGUGUGGAAUUCCCGGUGUAGCGGUGAAAUGCGCAGAUAUCGGGAGGAACACCGGCGGCGAAGGCGGCACUCUGGGCCGGUACUGACGCUGAGACGCGAAAGCGUGGGGAGCGAACAGG